AGUUGCUACAGAAGUUAACGGUCGAGGUUCGAAACUCUUCCUCGCUCCCUCUCACUGAGACUCUUUAAGUUUCUAAAACCCUAACGAGCUUCCCCCCGCGAAGCUCGAAGCCGUUUCCCGCUCUCUCUACCCUCUCCGGUUUUCCCUCGGACCCGCGAUCAUGUACGGAGGCGAUGAAGUGUCAGCGAUAGUCAUCGACUUGGGUUCGCACACCUGCAAGGCCGGUUACGCCGGUGAAGAUGCUCCCAAGGCCGUUUUUCCUUCUGUUGUGGGUUCGAUCGAUCAAAUGGAAGUUGACGAUGCUGCAAAUACCGAUACAAACUCUGGAGCAGCCACGGAGGCUAAGAGCAAUGUCAAAACACCUGAUUCUGAUAAAAAUAAGGGAAAGCGGAAAUUGUAUGUGGGAUCUCAGGCUCUAGGAUAUCGCAGGGAUCACAUGGAGGUCGUAUCGCCUUUCAAGGAUGGAAUUGUCGCGGAUUGGGAUAUUGUUGACAAUAUAUGGGAACAUGCUUUCAGGGAAUGUCUUCUAAUUGAUCCAACAGAGCAUCCGAUGCUUCUUGCAGAACCAUCUUCCAACCCUCAGCAACAACGAGAAAAGGCAACUGAACUUAUGUUUGAAAAGUAUAAAGUUCCUGCCUUGUUUUUGGCAAAGAAUGCUGUCCUCACUUCUUUUGCAUCUGGGCGUGCCACUUCCUUAGUAGUUGAUUGUGGUGGAGGAUCAACCACAGUGGCUCCAGUACAUGAUGGUUAUGUUCUUCAAAAGGGUGUGGCGACUUCACCUAUUGGAGGAGAAUUUCUAACCGAUUGCUUGUUGAAGAGCUUGGAAAGCAAAGGUAUCAAGAUAAGACCUAGAUAUUCGUUUAAGAGAAAGGAAGUACGUCCGGGAGAGUUUCAGUCAUUUGAUGUUGAUUUUCCAAGCACAACGGAAAGCUACAGACUAUAUUCCCAGAGGGUAAUUGCUAGUGAUAUCAAGGAUUCUGUAUGCCGUGCUCCAGAUAGUCCCUAUGAUGAGAGUGCAUAUGCAAAUAUUCCGAUGACCCCGUAUGAGCUACCUGAUGGCCAGACAAUUGAAAUUGGGGCUGACAGAUUUAAGAUUCCUGAUGUUCUGUUCAAUCCGUCCCUAGCUCAGACAAUUCCCGGCAUGGAGAGUUUCUCAGAGUUUGCUCCUUCUGUUCGUGGAUUAUCCCAGAUGGUUAUUGAGAGUAUUAACAAGUGUGACGUUGACAUCCGAAGAGAACUGUUUAGUAGUAUUCUGCUUGCGGGUGGCACUGCAUCGAUGCAGCAGUUGAAGGAACGUCUUGAGAAAGACUUGCUAGAGGAAUCCCCUCAAGCUGCUAGAGUAAAAGUAUUGGCCAGUGGGAAUACAACUGAAAGAAGAUUCAGUGUUUGGAUAGGAGGAAGUAUAUUGGCAUCUCUCGGAUCAUUUCAGCAGAUGUGGUUCUCAAAGACCGAGUACGAGGAACAUGGUGCUUCAUAUGUUCAGAGAAAAUGCCCGUGAUUUGAUGCUCCUGGUGCUUCUACAAUGUCUAGGGUCAAUUGUUGGGAUGAUCUCUUGAAUUCCUCUUGUUGGAGUGGAAGAAAGAUGUUUGGGAGACUGAAUCCAAUUAGGGUUAUGUCAGAGUACUCAGAUUGGAAGUCGCAUUGUGGCCAAGUUUGAUAGGUUUGGAAUUAAGCAGCUAUACCAGCUCCGCCUAGCUCGGAAUGGCUCGGCUGUGGGGACUAGUUUCAUCUUUGCUCUUAUGGCUCAACUGAGGGGUACGCUUAUUGAAAUCCCAAGUUGUAGUUGCUAUAUUUUCCGUAGGAAAAUUUGACAGAGACUGAACUAA
RNA transcript from Rhodamnia argentea, 1826 nucleotides. It is a transcript of the gene named actin-related protein 4, with no coding region annotated. The transcript is spliced from 21 exons. The record is from RefSeq and is a predicted model, not a curated record. Lineage: Eukaryota; Viridiplantae; Streptophyta; Magnoliopsida; Myrtales; Myrtaceae.